AGCGAACGCUGGCGGCAGGCCUAACACACGCAAGUCGAACGGACCCUUCGGGGUUAGUGGCGGACGGGUGAGUAACACGUGGGAACGUGCCUUUAGGUUCGGAAUAGCUCCUGGAAACGGGUGGUAAUGCCGAAUGUGCCCUUCGGGGGAAAGAUUUAUCGCCUUUAGAGCGGCCCGCGUCUGAUUAGCUAGUUGGUGAGGUAACGGCUCACCAAGGCGACGAUCAGUAGCUGGUCUGAGAGGAUGACCAGCCACACUGGGACUGAGACACGGCCCAGACUCCUACGGGAAGCAGCAGUGGGGAAUCUUGCGCAAUGGGCGAAAGCCUGACGCAGCCAUGCCGCGUGAAUGAUGAAGGUCUUAGGAUUGUAAAAUUCUUUCACCGGGGACGAUAAUGACGGUACCCGGAGAAGAAGCCCCGGCUAACUUCGUG
RNAcentral lists this ribosomal RNA (433 nucleotides) under uncultured bacterium. RNAcentral's name for it is "partial 16S ribosomal RNA". It matches the Rfam family "Bacterial small subunit ribosomal RNA", at positions 29 to 507 of the family's 1533-position model. The record is from RNAcentral.